GCGGAGAUGGCGGAAUGGCAGACGCGCUAGAUUCAGGUUCUAGUGGGAGUUUUUCCUGUGAGGGUUCAAGUCCCUUUCUCCGCA
This 84-nucleotide transfer RNA is filed under the name Lachnospiraceae bacterium MD308. RNAcentral describes it as "tRNA-Leu". It matches the Rfam family "tRNA". Rfam says of the family: Transfer RNA (tRNA) molecules are approximately 80 nucleotides in length. Their secondary structure includes four short double-helical elements and three loops (D, anti-codon, and T loops). The record is from RNAcentral. RNAcentral also lists the same sequence under 2 other names. Lineage: Bacteria; Bacillati; Bacillota; Clostridia; Lachnospirales; Lachnospiraceae.